Small nucleolar RNA from Loxodonta africana (African savanna elephant), 125 nucleotides. Its record names the gene SNORA70. It matches the Rfam family "Small nucleolar RNA SNORA70". From Rfam's summary of the family: snoRNA U70 seems to be exclusive to mammals and is a member of the H/ACA class of snoRNA which contain H (ANANNA) and ACA box motifs. NCBI's taxonomy places the organism in Eukaryota, Metazoa, Chordata, Mammalia, Proboscidea, Elephantidae. The record is from Ensembl.
CUACAGUCAGCUAAAUUGACUGUCCUCUUGCCUUGUGGGGGCCAGUGAGCAAUGGCUGCAAACAGCAGCCUCGUCAGUAGGGUACCCAACCUGUUGCACAUAUAGGUUGCCUAAAGGAGACAGCC